UGGUGAUUCCUCUUUAGUUCUUUCCA
Molecule: non-coding RNA, 26 nt
Filed under: Macaca fascicularis (crab-eating macaque)
Lineage: Eukaryota; Metazoa; Chordata; Mammalia; Primates; Cercopithecidae
Also listed under: 1 other name
Source: RNAcentral